RNAcentral lists this long non-coding RNA (2035 nucleotides) under Arabidopsis thaliana (thale cress). RNAcentral describes it as "long non-coding RNA (ATHA_LNC000679)". The record is from RNAcentral. Lineage: Eukaryota; Viridiplantae; Streptophyta; Magnoliopsida; Brassicales; Brassicaceae.
UUAUCUUAAAAAAACAUACACCGAACAAAUUUAAGAGCAUCGCUCGACUUUAGUAUAAUUGGAUAAUCUCAUGUAGAUUUUCUAUACCGUGUCCGUUUAUAAAAAGGUAACCUUGCUCAUGAAAUCCCAAUAUGUGAUUUUUUUUUUUUUGAAUAGUGUUUUCAAGAAGCUUGAUCUUCUCUAUGGGUAAUUAUUGUCAAUUGAAUUUGCAUCAUAUUAUUUUCACUUUGCAUUGGUUUUGUACUUUGCAUGCUUUGAUUUGUUUGAAUCGGUUGCUGACUUCGAAUUGAUACAUUGCAUGCUUCGAUAUCCAGAUUCCGGGCCGAAGUAAGCAAUUACGAUUUUGAUUUUUUAUCCAGCGUUUUCAACUAAUAUCUGUCUCGAGUUUGAUUUUCUUCAGUUUAUGCAAGAUUCAUAAUCUGUAAAUUAUAUUGAUGGCUCAUCGAUUCAUAUAUUGAUAUGGUUAUGAAUGUCAACUAACGAAGUUAUCAUCACAUACUUAAGUUUACCAGUUAAUCUUACUAUUUGCAAGUGUUUCAAGGUUUAUCAGAGAAAUAUUUCUCGACACAUUCCACAAAUUUGUGUUGCUGUUUCGAAUUUGGUUUCGAGAGAAUGACGAUAUGCUCCUCCUCUAUUUGAUAUUGAUGAUGACAUUCAUAGUUUUGAAAAUCUCUUUCCAAUUGCAUUCUCUAGCUAUCCAUUAAAAUUGAUUUUGCAAUGGGACUUUACGAUUAAAAUUGAUAAUAAACUUGUCUAACUUCUAAGUCUUAGUGCUACGAUUAUGAAUAGAAAAACAUCUCUUGAUCAAUGCACUCUCUUAUGGUUGAAGAAAAAGUAAAUAAUGAGUAGAAAUGAAUAUUGCUUAGUUUUUUUCAAAGUUGAAGACGUAUACUAAAGAUUUGAUUGUUCAUUUUUGUAAAAUCACAUAAGCACUGUUUCAAGUUUUUUUUUUGAAUAUACAGAAACCAUCACAAUGUUAAGAGAGACAUCUACGGAAGAAUGUUGGUAUGAGCAACUGAUUUUGAGAACUGAGAAGUAUCUUCAACAAAGGUAAAUUGUCUUAUUGAAUCAUCUUGAAUGUUUGUUUAGAGGAAUGACAAUAGAGACAUACAUCAUCAUACGUGACAAAUAUAUAAACAUUUAUAAUAGGGAGAGUGUUAAUCUUUUGCCCAAGAAAAAAAAAGGAGAGUGUUAAUCUAGUCUAAUAUCUAAUCUAGUAAUGUCAGCAAAAUUUGGUUAUACCAAGAUUUCAAACCAUUGUUAGAAAUGAAAAACAAAGUAGCAAACGAUUAGAGAGAGACUUUGAGAGCUUAGUGAGUAUUAAAUUUGUUAGUAGACUUGCAUAUUUAUAGGAAAAGAAGGUCGACUAAAGAUUUUUAGGGUUAAACUUAAAAUCUUUUUAAUAUAUUUGCAAAUCGGGAUUUCAAAUAAAUAAUUAAGGUAUAUGCUCGAUUCGUUAGGAUUUGAAUAUAUAGUUAUUGUUAUAUUUGGUAAAUAUAAUAACUGAAUCCGUAUCGUUGUUUGCGUCAAUACUAUAUUUGCUUGAGUAGUUAAUAUUCGAAUUUAUAGAUUCUGUUAUGUUUGGUAUCUUCUAUUAAAUGAUUUCGUAUUUUUUUUUUUUUAUCCUUAUUCACUUAUCAAAAUAUACGGAAAAAUGAUUUUGUUUGUUAUAGAAAAUUUAUCUUUAUUUACUACUAUUCAGAAGAUUUAUUAUAGAAAUAUCUUUUAGGUGAUUGAAUCUAAUUCGGCUUUGUUAUUAAUUUCAACAUUAAACACCCAUAUUUUCGAGAACAUCUCUUAUGCCUUGACCCGUGAAGUCCAUUACGUAGAAUUAAUUAGAUUACCAAAACAAGUGAAUAGCCCAUUUUUCAUUUUGCAGGAUCCGCAUAUCUUUACUUGGGUCGGUUUUAAUCACGGUUCAGGUCGGCUUUGAUGAUGCAAGGAACCCUUACUUUUUUUUGUUUGAGUUUUUAUUGUAACGUGAUAUUUAAAAGUGGCUUAAAUGGCUUAUGAUUUGUCUGCCCCUCAUUCUCUC